GCGGGUGUGGCGGAAUUGGCAGACGCGUAUGGUUCAGGUCCAUAUGGGGGUUACCCCGUGAAGGUUCAAGUCCUUUCACCCGCACCA
This 87-nucleotide transfer RNA is filed under the name Eggerthellaceae bacterium. Its description in RNAcentral is "tRNA-Leu". It matches the Rfam family "tRNA". From Rfam's summary of the family: Transfer RNA (tRNA) molecules are approximately 80 nucleotides in length. Lineage: Bacteria; Bacillati; Actinomycetota; Coriobacteriia; Eggerthellales; Eggerthellaceae. The record is from RNAcentral.